Non-coding RNA from Macaca mulatta (Rhesus monkey), 278 nucleotides. NCBI's taxonomy places the organism in Eukaryota, Metazoa, Chordata, Mammalia, Primates, Cercopithecidae. The record is from RefSeq and is a predicted model, not a curated record.
CCAUGGGGUAGAUUAAUUAAAAUUAACACCUAUAUCAAACAUUUUCAGGAAUAUAGAAUAUGAUGAACUGGUAGAGAAAGAAUUUUAAGAUGGCAUGUAAGAAUGAUAGAAUUUGAACAAAAUCCCUUUUAUUUAUUUAUGCCAAAAUCUGUGUGAAUGUAAAAUGCCAUCUUGAUCAUGCUUUAUUUAUGGUGUGUAUUUUUCUUUUGAAAAACAGGAAGGAAGGAAGGAAGGAAGGAAGGAAGGAAGGAAGGAAGGAAAAGAAGGAAGGAAGGAAG